RNAcentral lists this long non-coding RNA (1936 nucleotides) under Cricetulus griseus (Chinese hamster). Its description in RNAcentral is "lncRNA (ENSCGRG00000025550.1)". The record is from RNAcentral. Lineage: Eukaryota; Metazoa; Chordata; Mammalia; Rodentia; Cricetidae.
AAAAUCUACCAUUUCUGGCAAAGGUAAAAAGCCAGAUUGUCACAAGAUUUGUCUGAACGAUCUGCCUUCAUUGCAUCUAUUUCAGCAUCAUUUGGUACUUCACUGUGACACCAUCUGUUCCAGCAAACUGGCCUCCUUGAAAACAAGAGUAUCAAAAGAAAACUGGCAGUGGAAGCAGAAACAUGAAAGAAGAUGCUGAAAUGGUGGUUUGCCUAUGGGAUAAGCCUGUUCUAAGUAUUCAUCUGUUCAUAUUCUCAUUCCUUCUUACUCCUGGAGAAAAUGGAAAACUAUGGAUUCCUUCCAGACCAAUAUGGUUUAUCAAGCAAGACCCCCUGAAGCAGUAACCCAACUGAUCCUAUAUUCAAAAGAGUUGAGAUGAUACAGUCAUAGAUGACUACAGCCAGGAUUUCUGUGUUUUAUCAUGGUCUCCAUGGUAUGGACAUUGCCCCCAACCAGCAGGAAGCAGUUUGGAAUGAAUGAUGCCCAAAUUCUCAAGUAUUGUUUAUAAAUGUUUGUUUUCACUUAGAUGGGGUUGGUUAUAAAUGGUAAUGAUCACAGUGAAUCUCUUUCUAAAGGAAAAAAGAGGAAUAGGAUAUAGAAAUGAAUAUUUUGCAUUGGUGUGGAUUUUCAUUUAUUGAUACAAAUUUAAGGUCAAUUUUGUGAUAUGUAUAUUUCUCCUCUUGUUUAGGUAUUGUGUUAUACAGCUCUUUUAAAAUGUAAUGCAUAAUUUAGUACAGAUUAUAUUGUUACCUAUAAUAGUCAUAACUUAUAAUUAGGUUAGUUAGUUUCUCUAGCUUACAAAGAUGUAUUUGAGAUGGAUAGAUAUUCUUCAAACCUUUCAAAGACCUAAAUAUGGCAUUUAAUGUUUUAGGGCUUUUCGUGGCAGUGAGACACGCGUGCUCCUGUCACACCAAUUACCUCAGAAAGCAGGAUGGGCAUCGAAGAAACUCAUUAUGGAGUUUGCUUUCAACAUGGCAAGGUUAGCCAUUUGGGCAAGAAACUGCCCUUGCCUGGACUGUUUGUUGCUGUAUAAACUGGACAUGCAGGACCCACAGGUAAGUGACUGCUAACUUACAAAACAAGAUGGACAGUCCUGAAGGAUUCCUGCUUCAUGGAAGCAUCUGGAAGACAUUCUUCAGGACACAGAGGGAAUUGGCUGACAAAUUGCCAAUGCAGGUGGACAGUUUAAAAUUUUCUGCUUCACUGAGAAGUCUGUCAGACACAUUGUGGACUAUAGGCUGAAGAUGGACGCCCCAACGUACAAAGGAACUUUGGAUGACUGUCCAGACAGUGAGAUGUCUCUACAAGAUCUAGAGUUUAUAUGUUAUCCUUCUGGGGUCUUUGAUGGAGUUGAAGACAGAUAGUUAUGGUUAUAGUUUUCUUUAGUUAUUAUAAAAGAUAAAUUACAUAUAAGACCUUAGACUCACAAAGAUAGGAUAGAUGAUAGAAUAUUUUCUUUAAAUCUUGCUAAAUGUCAAUGAACUAAAUAUUGUAACUAUAGUUCUUACUUGAUAACUGUUUUGUUAUAUAUUUAACUUGUUAAUGUGAAUCCCUUCUUUUUAUUUAGACAGAAAAGAGGAGAUGAUGGCGGAGGUCUUUCUGCAUAUACAUUUGUCUUAUUGGUUGAUAAAUAAAGCUCUGUUGGCCAAUAGGGGAGCAAGUUAGGUGGGACUAGGGAGAAGGAAGUUUCUGGGAAAUGGAGGAAAAGGACUCAGUUGCCAUGUGAUCACCAGGAAGACAGCAUGCAUUCCCCAGCAUUCUCAAUAAGUUUAUAAAAUAUAUAGAUUAAUAAAUAUGGGUGACACUUAAGACAGAGUUAGCAAAUAAGAAAUCUUAGUCAUUGGCACGCAGCAUUGAACCUAAUAUAAGUCUCUGUGUGUUACUUGAAACCUUAACAUGGUGGUGGGUGGAACUCAGGUGGCUGGAGGAAAGGUUU